GCUUGUCUCAAAGAUUAAGCCAUGCAUGUCUCAGCAUAAGCUUCUAUACGGCGAAACUGCGAAUGGCUCAUUAAAACAGUUACAGUUUAUUUGAUGGUCAUUCUUUACAUGGAUAACCGUGGUAAUUCUAGAGCUAAUACAUGCGCCCAAACCCGACUUUGCGGAAGGGUUGUGCUUAUUAGAUACAAAACCAAUGCCCUUCGGGGCUCCUUGGUGAUUCAUGAUAACUAUACGAAUCGCACGGCCUUGCGCCGGCGAUGGUUCAUUCAAAUUUCUUCCCUAUCAACUUUCGAUGUUUGGGUAUUGGCCAAACAUGGUUGCAACGGGUAACGGAGGGUUAGGGCUCGACCCCGGAGAAGGAGCCUGAGAAACGGCUACUACAUCCAAGGAAGGCAGCAGG
Molecule: ribosomal RNA, 400 nt
Filed under: Sarocladium strictum
Lineage: Eukaryota; Fungi; Ascomycota; Sordariomycetes; Hypocreales; Sarocladiaceae
Description: partial small subunit ribosomal RNA
Rfam family: Eukaryotic small subunit ribosomal RNA
Source: RNAcentral